RNAcentral lists this transfer RNA (83 nucleotides) under candidate division SR1 bacterium CG_4_9_14_3_um_filter_40_9. RNAcentral describes it as "tRNA-Leu". It matches the Rfam family "tRNA". Rfam says of the family: Transfer RNA (tRNA) molecules are approximately 80 nucleotides in length. The record is from RNAcentral. Lineage: Bacteria; Candidatus Absconditibacteriota.
GCCCAGGUGGUGGAAUUUGGUAUACACGUACGCUUGAGGUGCGUAUGCCGUAAGGCUUGAGGGUUCGAGUCCCUUCUUGGGCA